RNA transcript from Leptopilina heterotoma, 2180 nucleotides. RefSeq lists it as uncharacterized. Lineage: Eukaryota; Metazoa; Arthropoda; Insecta; Hymenoptera; Figitidae. The record is from RefSeq and is a predicted model, not a curated record. The transcript has 9 exons.
UAUUUCUACGUUUCUGAAAAUGUCAUCUGUCAAAAUGUGUCAAAUUACAAAGAUUACAAACAACUUUGUCUUUAGUGAUUAAUUAUAAAUAUCGUGCAAGAAUAAUUUAUUUAUCUAGUAAAUAAUGUUGACGAAAGUGCAACGGAAUAAGAAAUAAUAUGUAAAUAUAAAUAUAAUUCUUUUUCUCCAAAAGUAAACAUGUGCCAAACGUGAUAAAAGUUAACCUCUCUCAGGGAAAACCGUGACUUUUAUUCAUAAUUUUCGAUUUUUUAAUUAUUUCUCUAUAGUUUAGAAAAAAGAAAGAAACAAGAAGAAUACUAAGAGAUUAAAUAUAGAGAAAAAAUGAUUUACAGUGAAUUUUAAAACAUUUUUUGUUAUUUUAGUUGCAAAUAUAAAUAUAGGUUAAGUUUGAAAUCUUCUAAUAUAUAUUUAUCAAUAUGAAAGAGGUUUUGAAUUCUCAAUCUUCCUCGGGUUUUAAUAAUCAUUUUGCGAAUAAUAAUGGUGACACGAGUAAUGCAAGUUCAAAUAGUGUUGUGAAUGGAGAAAAUACAAGAAGAUAUGCGGUAUUAAGUACAGAAUGGGUUUCGGCAAUUGGCGAAGAAUUGGGAAUGCAUCCACUGCCAGAUCCUCUUCUACGGAGACUUGCAGAAGAUGCUUCUUAUCGUUUACGAGAUGUUUUGCACAAAUGUGUAACUAGACUUAGGCACAGUAAACGAAGACGUUUAACAUCGAAUGAUGUGAAUGCUGUGUUUACAAAUUUAUGUGAUAUUGAUCCAAUAUUUGGAGCUCCCGAGCAAAUGCCGGAAUAUCACACUGAAGCUGCGGUAUUUGUUCCUCAUGAGCACAUUAUAGAAUUACCGCAACAAGUUAAUAAUCCACAGAGAAUUGAACAAAUACUUCCUCCUUUACUACAGGAAACGGAGAUUGCUGACGCUCGCCUUCGGGAAGCUCGUGAUAAUUAUGCAAAACGAGCAAUAAAAACGAUUUUUAAUGGAUCUCAGAAGACGUUUCAGGUCCUCUUGAAUGAUUGUGCAACUAAUGCUAAUUUAGGUGGUUAUGGCGUUGUGGAUAAAUUAAUGUCUAUUGCAAGAGCCAUGGUGAUUGCAAACAGUACUCAUUACACUCGUAUUUCGAUGCGUACUUGUCAGCUUAUUAUUGCAGUCGCCAGCAACAGUGAAGCUGUUUAUCCCUAUCACCUAGUUUCUGUGGAUAAAUUAACAGAAUUGUUGAUUGAACUUCCCGAUGGUUAUAUACACACAAAUAUGGAAGUUUUAUUCAAAGAAUGCGCUUUCAAAUUAAUGCUUCGUUGGCCUUCCGCAGCUGAUAGAUUCAUUCCAGUUUUGGAAGGAAUGCUUCGUCAGGAGGUGAAAGAUAGUUUUGAAUCAAGGAGAAAAAAAUUAAUGGCUAUGGAAUUGAUCGCAGGCGUUCAACCUCUAUUGUUCUUCCAACAAGAAAAUAAUUCACCGCUUUCUCUAGAAAAUGUUCUGUCAUUCGCGACACCUGCUUCUGUUUUGUGGCUUCGCUUAGCCAUUGCAGUUAGCGCUUUCGUGAAAACAGGUAAUCAGCCUUUUAAUUAUUCUGUGAUUUAUGAUCAUUAUGGCGACUCUAUAUUGUCGUAUAUGGUGACGAGAAACGAGAAUCAAGGGGAGCGUAAGGAACCAGUUAAUCUCCCAAUGAUUGUGAGAAGUAAAAUUAAUACUGUUAAUGUCAGGCCGAUUCGAUUUAAUAAAAUCUGCCCGGACAGACAUUCCGUAUUUCCCGAUUCAAUGCUGCAAGGCAGACAUGAAAUUAGAUUUGCAUUCGCUGGCGGACGUCCUGUACCACCAGAUAAUCUGAAACGAGCAAGUUUACGCGCUGAUUAUGAAUUUUUAAGAAGUGAAGUGCCUGCCACAGUCGCUCUUGUUGCGUCUAGAAGACUGCUUAUAUUUAAAAACAAAAGGAAAAAUUUCUCAGAUGCUUACAACUUAGGAAAUAUUCAUCUUUAAAUAAUAUUCAAAAAUCUGACAAUAGGUUCCUAACAAAAAGUUAACAAUCAUUAAGACACUUAUUGGAAAUCAAAGACAGUCCUCGAGGCCAUUUGGCAAUUCUGAUUUUGGCAAACAAUGAGAAUUCGACAGGCAUGUAAGUCGAGUGUGGAAUCGAAUAGGUACCUAUUGCAAAAAAUAGAACAUUUUUUUAAU